Molecule: long non-coding RNA, 240 nt
Organism: Andrographis paniculata
Lineage: Eukaryota; Viridiplantae; Streptophyta; Magnoliopsida; Lamiales; Acanthaceae
Exons: 4
Source: RefSeq, a predicted model, not a curated record
GUCGGAUAGUCAGGUCGGUUGGUUAGCGGGUCGGAUGGUCCAUAGGUCGGAAGGUCUGCGGUCGGAUAGUCAGGUCGGUUGGUUAGCGGGUCGGAUGGUCCAUAGGUCGGAAGGUCUGCGGUCGGAUAGUCAGGUCGGUUGGUUAGCGGGUCGGAUGGUCCAUAGGUCGGAAGGUCUGCGGUCGGAUAGUCAGGUCGGUUGGUUAGCGGGUCGGAUGGUCCAUAGGUCGGAAAGUCUGCA